UACGUAGGGUCCGAGCGUUGUCCGGAGUUACUGGGCGUAAAGCGCGCGCAGGCGGCUCGGCAAGCAUGGCGUGAAAGCCCCCGGCUCAACCGGGGAGAGUCGUCGUGGUCUGCCGGGCUUGAGGGCGGUAGGGGUUGGUGGAAUUCCCGGUGUAGUGGUGAAAUGCGUAGAGAUCGGGAGGAACACCCGUGGCGAAGGCGGCCAACUGGGCCGACCCUGACGCUGAGGCGCGAAGGCGUGGGGAGCGAACGGG
RNAcentral lists this ribosomal RNA (253 nucleotides) under uncultured bacterium. RNAcentral's name for it is "partial 16S ribosomal RNA". It matches the Rfam family "Bacterial small subunit ribosomal RNA", at positions 524 to 776 of the family's 1533-position model. The record is from RNAcentral.